UCCGCCCCUAGAGGCAUUACAGGUGUGGCUGCUAUGUCACAUGUAUGUCAGUAGAUGCCAGAGAGGAGAGAGCCUAUGUCUAAGCUCAGUGUUGUGACCUAUGAAAAUAUGAAUGAUUAGUGACUAAUACU
RNAcentral lists this small nucleolar RNA (131 nucleotides) under Meriones unguiculatus (Mongolian gerbil). RNAcentral's name for it is "Small nucleolar RNA SNORA17 (ENSMUGG00000002819.1)". It matches the Rfam family "Small nucleolar RNA SNORA17". From Rfam's summary of the family: snoRNA ACA 17 belongs to the H/ACA family of snoRNAs and is predicted to guide pseudouridylation of the 28S rRNA at positions U4659 and U4598. It shares the same host gene together with ACA43. NB This family has a high threshold value to exclude a large number of closely related sequences that do not appear to have conserved H and ACA boxes, and may be pseudogenes. The record is from RNAcentral. Lineage: Eukaryota; Metazoa; Chordata; Mammalia; Rodentia; Muridae.